This 253-nucleotide ribosomal RNA is filed under the name uncultured bacterium. RNAcentral describes it as "partial 16S ribosomal RNA". It matches the Rfam family "Bacterial small subunit ribosomal RNA", at positions 524 to 776 of the family's 1533-position model. The record is from RNAcentral.
GACGUAGGGGGCCAGCGUUGUUCGGAAUUACUGGGCGUAAAGGGCUCGUAGGCGGUGCGGCAAGUUGGGAGUGAAAUCUCUGGGCUUAACCCAGAGGCUGCUUCCAAAACUGCUGUGCUUGAGUGUGGGAGAGGCGCGUGGAAUUGCAGGUGUAGCGGUGAAAUGCGUAGAUAUCUGCAGGAACACCCGUGGCGAAAGCGGCGCGCUGGACCACUACUGACGCUGAGGAACGAAAGCUAGGGGAGCAAACAGG